AUAAAGGCAGACCUGUGCUUGACAUGGAUUGAUCUGUCUUCUGGCAGUGAAGUGCAGGCAUGAACCUUGGUCAGCCCCACACUCUUCUCCAUCCGUAGCCCAUGUACUAGAGUUUGGACUUGGACCGAAGUCUGGGGCAGCUCCCUAAUUACUAGGGUGCUGAAGGCGUGAUUGUGCCAGUCGACUGCGAGUUCCUUCCGCAGCUUGUAUCGUU
This 214-nucleotide long non-coding RNA is filed under the name Homo sapiens (human). Its description in RNAcentral is "long non-coding RNA NONHSAT229811". Lineage: Eukaryota; Metazoa; Chordata; Mammalia; Primates; Hominidae. The record is from RNAcentral.